UUGCUCUUCAACGAGGAAUACCUAGUAAGCGUGAGUCAUCAGCUCGCGUUGAUUACGUCCCUGCCCUUUGUACACACCGCCCGUCGCUACUACCGAUUGAAUGGCUUAGUGAGGCCUUGGGAUUGGCUUCGGGGAGCCGGAAACGGCACCCUGUUGCUGAGAACUUGGUCAAACUUGGUCAUUUAGAGGAAGUAAAAGUCGUAACAAGGUUUCCGUAGGUGAACCUGCGGAAGGAUCAUUAUCGAGUUUUGAAACAGGUUGUAGCUGGCCUUUCUAACCAGGAAGGCAUGUGCACGCCUGGCUCAUUCCACUCUUCAACCUCUGUGCACUUAUUGUAGGUCGGUGGAAAGCUUGGAGCUUUAAAAGGCUUCAAGUUGGAAGCCUUCCUAUGUUUUACUACAAACGCUUCAGUUAUAGAAUGUUUAUCUUGCGUAUAACGCAUUUAUAUACAACUUUCAGCAACGGAUCUCUUGGCUCUCGCAUCGAUGAAGAACGCAGCGAAAUGCGAUAAGUAAUGUGAAUUGCAGAAUUCAGUGAAUCAUCGAAUCUUUGAACGCACCUUGCGCUCCCUGGUAUUCCGGGGAGCAUGCCUGUUUGAGUGUCAUGGAAUUCUCAACCUUUUAAAUUUUUGUUAACCAAAAGUUUAAAAGGCUUGGACUUGGAGGCUUGUGCUGGCUCUAAUUUGUUGAGUCGGCUCCUCUUAAAUGCAUUAGCGUGAAUGUUUACGGAUCGCUUCGGUGUGAUAAUUAUCUGCGCCGUGGUUGUGAAGUAUCGAUAAGUUUACGCUUCUAAUCGUCCUUUCAAUAGGACAAUUAAUAAAACUUGACAUCUGGCCUCAAAUCAGGUAGGACUACCCGCUGAACUUAAGCAUAUCAAUAAGCGGAGGA
Molecule: ribosomal RNA, 887 nt
Filed under: uncultured fungus
Lineage: Eukaryota; Fungi
Description: eukaryotic LSU rRNA
Rfam family: Eukaryotic small subunit ribosomal RNA (bases 1-241)
Source: RNAcentral